This 521-nucleotide ribosomal RNA is filed under the name Habronattus velivolus. Its description in RNAcentral is "partial 16S ribosomal RNA". It matches the Rfam family "Bacterial large subunit ribosomal RNA", at positions 1831 to 2706 of the family's 2925-position model. Lineage: Eukaryota; Metazoa; Arthropoda; Arachnida; Araneae; Salticidae. The record is from RNAcentral.
UUCUAUUAGAAAUCAUUAAUAGUAAAAUCUGCUCCAUGUCUAAUAAAUAGCCGCAAUUUGUGCUAAGGUAGCAUAAUCAUUUGUCUUUUAAAUGAAGACUAGAACAAAAGAUUUAACAUUUUCAGUUCAUUUUCUUAACUUAAAUCAUUAAAUUUAUCCUAAAUGUAAAAAGACAUUUAUGUAAAAGAAAGACGAUAAGACCCUAUUGAACUUAACUGCAGUUAAACUGGGGCAGUAAAUUAAUUAUCAUUUUAAUAAAAAUUUUUUUAUAAAUAUCUAAUAAAAUUAAAUAAUUCAGUUACCAUAGGGAUAACAGCGUAAUAAUCUUCUAAAGAUCUUAUUUAAAACAUAGAUUACGACCUCGAUGUUGAAUUAAUAACCUAAUUAAGGCAAAACUUAAAAAAGGAAGUCUGUUCGACUUUUAAAAAAUUACAUGAUUUGAGUUCAGACCGGUGUAAGCCAGGUCGGUUUCUAUCUUCUAAAAAAUUUUUUACAGUACGAAAGGACCUAAAAAUCUAAUA